ACCAAAAGCCCCAGGACCCCAGUGGUCCAAGACUUGGAGGAGCUGGGGGCUCUCCCCGAGGAGGCGGCAGGUGGUGACGAGGACCGGGAAAAGGAGAUUCUCAUGGAGAGGAUUCAGUCCAUCAAAGAAGAGAAGGAGGACAUCACAUAUCGACUGCCGGAGCUGGACCCACGGGGUUCUGACGAGGAGAACCUUGACUCAGAGACAUCAGCCAGCACUGAGAGCCUGCUGGAGGAGAGGGCCGUGCGGGGGGCCGCAGAAGAGUGAAGACACCCCGGAGGACCCCCAUCAUGCCCAUGGCCAACAUCAAGCUCCCUCCGGGCCUGCCCUUGCACCUGACGAGCUGGGCACCUGCUCUCCAGGAGGCUGCUGUUCCAGUGAAGCGCCGAGAGCCACCUGCCCGCCGACAGGACCAGGUACAUUCCGUAUACAUCGCCCCUGGAGCUGACCUGCCAUCGCAGGGUACACUAGGACCCCUGGACCACCAUGAUGCCAUACUUCCUGGGGCCAAACGCAGGUAUUCAGACCCCCCUACCUACUGCCUGCCCUCCAGCUCCAGCCAAGCCAAUGGCUGAGGACCAUGACUGGCCAUCUGCGUGUUCUAAAAUCCCCGAACUGGCAUCCCAGCUGUGGAGCCGGCCUUCACUCUCUGAGAAGGAUCUAGAAUGAAAAGUUCCCAGAGGGAUGCUGUGGCCAGCUCUGUGUGUUGUGGAGGCUGGGGACUGCUGGCCAGGACCAUCAGAGCCCCAACCUGCACAGCAGUUCCCCCCCCCCCCUUUGUACUUUUCAGUAACUGUUUCUCUUUUUGUGGUUUACAUAACUUUUAAGUUCAUAACAGCCUUAAUGGAGGACCAAACUUUUUGUACGUGUGUCUGAGCUUUGAUAUUAACUGUCCACCGCUGUAACCUGGACAUGGGCAGGACUAGCCUGCAAAGUGGAUAUGUGGGCCACACCUGGCGACUGCACUCCACAGCCAUGGAGAGCAAGCAAGCAAGCGAACGAGCGGACUCACAAGACACCUCUUACCCUUGAAUACCUCCCAGCAGCGGUCAUCUGGCCAGAGAACCUUCCAGAGAUUGUGGGAGCUGUCCACAGGGUCACAGCUGAAGGCAGGACAGAAUGGGAAGUCCCUGCAUCGCAGGGAUGCUCUACCCACUGCCUGUGGGCUGCAAGGAGCCAGGGAUCGGAGCUGUAGGGACAAGCAGUGCAUGUCCCGAAUUUCCUCUGCAGCCCCCGUGUCAGCCUGGGUUCUUAAGAGGCUGGCUCUCUUCUCAGGCCCUACCCAGUCCUGGACACAAGGAAGCCCCACCGGAGGUGUGAAAUAAAAGUGCUUGACAAGUGUU
This 1343-nucleotide long non-coding RNA is filed under the name Rattus norvegicus (Norway rat). RNAcentral describes it as "long non-coding RNA NONRATT011367". The record is from RNAcentral. Lineage: Eukaryota; Metazoa; Chordata; Mammalia; Rodentia; Muridae.